This is an RNA transcript of Drosophila albomicans, 548 nucleotides long. RefSeq lists it as uncharacterized. Lineage: Eukaryota; Metazoa; Arthropoda; Insecta; Diptera; Drosophilidae. The transcript is spliced from 3 exons. The record is from RefSeq and is a predicted model, not a curated record.
UUUGCUAUUAUACUGAUAUUUUUUAAUCAAUAUAUUGGCAUAGAAUCAGUUGCCGUAAGGUUUACAAAUGUUUAUUGUAAAUCUAGUAAUCUGAGCAGAUUUGUGGUUAAUGUUUGCCGUAUACGUGCAGUAAAAAGGAAUAUGUACGUCUUCAACUAUGAUGCUACUUUGCUGUAUGAAUUAUAUAAUGUGAAGGUUAAUGUUCAAAUGGUCAAACGGGCAAAUGGCUAUAAACCGUGGCUAUACAAUAUUACUGUUGACGCCUGCGAAUUUCAAAGACGACGCAACAAUCCAAUGAUUAAAAUGGUAUUUAACAUUUUUAAAAACUAUUCGAACCUUAAUCACCCUUGCCCAUAUAGGGAUUCUGUACAUUUAUAUGGCUUAUAUCUUAAGCCACAAUUAAUUCCCAUUCCGUUGCCCACCGGCGAGUAUGGGUUACUUACAACAUGGAAUUUUGAUAACAAAACUAUUUCGACUGUGAAUUUAUAUUUCGAAUUCAAAGAAGAUGCAAUUUAAAUUAUUAUGGAAAUCUGUAUUACAAAAAAUAU